UUGGGAAUCUUGGACAAUGGGGGAAACCCUGAUCCAGCCAUGCCGCGUGAGUGAUGAAGGCCUUCGGGUUGUAAAACUCUUUCGACGGGGACGAUAAUGACGGUACCCGUAGAAGAAGCUCCGGCUAACUUCGUGCCAGCAGCCGCGGUAAUACGAAGGGGGCUAGCGUUGUUCGGAAUUACUGGGCGUAAAGCGCGCGCAGGCGGUUUUCCAAGUCAGUGGUGAAAGCCCGGAGCUCAACUCCGGAACUGCCAUUGAAACUGUUGAACUUGAGGACGAGAGAGGUGAGUGGAAUUCCCAGUGUAGAGGUGAAAUUCGUAGAUAUUGGGAAGAACACCUGUGGCGAAGGCGGCUCACUGGCUCGUUUCUGACGCUCAGGCGCGAUAGCGUGGGGAUCAAACA
RNAcentral lists this ribosomal RNA (402 nucleotides) under uncultured bacterium. RNAcentral describes it as "partial 16S ribosomal RNA". It matches the Rfam family "Bacterial small subunit ribosomal RNA", at positions 355 to 774 of the family's 1533-position model. The record is from RNAcentral.